GGCCUGCUCUUGCUUCUAGUGGCAGAACAGCCAUUGACCUCAAUGAAGGCAGAACUGGACUCUACUAAGGAACGUCCUUGCUGGAGAGAGAGGAGACAGACCUUUGAAAGGAAAGUUGAAGAGGGUUUGGACUGCUGGCUCAUCAGCAAAGUUCCAUCAGUAAUCAAGAUCGUGAAUCCAGCACCCUUGUACAGAAGCAUGACAGACACACUGGAUGCUGCUGGACCAGUGGUGAGAGGGGUGUGGUCAACACCUCCCCUGGCUGCCUCCCGACCUCGCGUGACCCACUGGCACAGGAGACCACACGAGGACCUCCAGAGGGACCAUAUUGCCACCCUGCAAGCCCUGCAGUGCUGCAUGGACCAGCAGGACUGCAGAAUGGAGGAGGGCCUGCAGCUGAGCCAUGAGACCUGACAGGAG
This is a non-coding RNA of Pelodiscus sinensis (Chinese soft-shelled turtle), 420 nucleotides long. The record is from RefSeq and is a predicted model, not a curated record. NCBI's taxonomy places the organism in Eukaryota, Metazoa, Chordata, Testudines, Trionychidae.